AUCUCAUGGGCUACAGUCCAUGGGGUUGCAAAGAAUUGUACACAACUGAGCAACUAACACACACAGCUGCUUGGCUACUUAGAGAUUAUUCAACUCAUUAUGAAACUGAGGUUCAGAAAAACUUGACUUGGACUAAUCAGUUGGACACUAACAAGUGCUGGUAAAGACCUACAUGAUAAUUUUCUGAAGGCUCUGGCAGCGAGAGAAGAAGACAAUCGCAGUGGAAAAGUGAGCGUGAGUGCAUUUCAUUCAGAGAUUAAAAAUGUAUACCUUAAAGGCACAUUAGUAUAUAAUAUCUAGUUAGUUGAUAAUAUAAUUUUAAAUA
Molecule: long non-coding RNA, 325 nt
Filed under: Capra hircus (goat)
Lineage: Eukaryota; Metazoa; Chordata; Mammalia; Artiodactyla; Bovidae
Description: lncRNA (ENSCHIG00010003139.1)
Source: RNAcentral